Molecule: ribosomal RNA, 118 nt
Organism: Danio rerio (zebrafish)
Lineage: Eukaryota; Metazoa; Chordata; Actinopteri; Cypriniformes; Danionidae
Source: Ensembl
UGCCACAGCCAUAUCACCCUGCAGCCCAAGACCGGUUAUUCAUUGAAAGCUUAGCAGGGCUGAGCCUGGUCAGUACCUGGAUGGGAGACCACAUGGGAAAACUAGGUUGCUGCUAGAA